AGGACGAGAGGACCGGAGUGGUCGAAUCACUGGUGUUCGGGUUGUCAUGACAAUGGCACUGCCCGGUAGCUAAAUGCGGAAGAGAUAAGUGCUGAAAGCAUCUAAGCACGAAACUUGCCCCGAGAUGAGUUCUCCCUGACUCCUUGAGAGUCCUGAAGGAACGUUGAAGACGACGACGUUGAUAGGCCGGGUGUGUAAGCGCAGCGAUGCGUUGAGCUAACCGGUACUAAUGAACCGUGAGGCUUAACCUUACAACGCCGAAGGUGUUU
This 269-nucleotide ribosomal RNA is filed under the name Escherichia coli. RNAcentral's name for it is "partial 23S ribosomal RNA". It matches the Rfam family "Bacterial large subunit ribosomal RNA", at positions 2680 to 2925 of the family's 2925-position model. Lineage: Bacteria; Pseudomonadati; Pseudomonadota; Gammaproteobacteria; Enterobacterales; Enterobacteriaceae. The record is from RNAcentral.